This is a ribosomal RNA of 892 nucleotides. It matches the Rfam family "Bacterial small subunit ribosomal RNA", at positions 67 to 968 of the family's 1533-position model.
CGAUGAAGCCCAGUCAUUGCUGGGUGGAUUAGUGGCGAACGGGUGAGUAACACGUGAGUAACCUGCCCUUAACUCUGGGAUAAGCCUGGGAAACUGGGUCUAAUACCGGAUAGGAGCGCCUACCGCAUGGUGGGUGUUGGAAAGAUUUAUCGGUUUUGGAUGGACUCGCGGCCUAUCAACUUGUUGGUGAGGUAAUGGCUCACCAAGGCGACGACGGGUAGCCGGCCUGAGAGGGUGACCGGCCACACUGGGACUGAGACACGGCCCAGACUCCUACGGGAGGCAGCAGUGGGGAAUAUUGCACAAUGGGCGAAAGCCUGAUGCAGCGACGCCGCGUGAGGGAUGACGGCCUUCGGGUUGUAAACCUCUUUCAGUAGGGAAGAAGCGAAAGUGACGGUACCUGCAGAAGAAGCACCGGCUAACUACGUGCCAGCAGCCGCGGUAAUACGUAGGGUGCGAGCGUUAUCCGGAAUUAUUGGGCGUAAAGAGCUCGUAGGCGGUUUGUCGCGUCUGUCGUGAAAGUCCGGGGCUUAACCCCGGAUCUGCGGUGGGUACGGGCAGACUAGAGUGCAGUAGGGGAGACUGGAAUUCCUGGUGUAGCGGUGGAAUGCGCAGAUAUCAGGAGGAACACCGAUGGCGAAGGCAGGUCUCUGGGCUGUAACUGACGCUGAGGAGCGAAAGCAUGGGGAGCGAACAGGAUUAGAUACCCUGGUAGUCCAUGCCGUAAACGUUGGGCACUAGGUGUGGGGACCAUUCCACGGUUUCCGCGCCGCAGCUAACGCAUUAAGUGCCCCGCCUGGGGAGUACGGCCGCAAGGCUAAAACUCAAAGGAAUUGACGGGGGCCCGCACAAGCGGCGGAGCAUGCGGAUUAAUUCGAUGCAACGCGAAGAA